RNAcentral lists this unclassified non-coding RNA (307 nucleotides) under plant metagenome. RNAcentral describes it as "partial contains 5.8S ribosomal RNA, internal transcribed spacer 2, and large subunit ribosomal RNA". The stretch from base 1 to 104 matches the Rfam family "5.8S ribosomal RNA", at positions 51 to 154 of the family's 154-position model. The record is from RNAcentral.
AAAUGCGAUAAGUAAUGUGAAUUGCAGAAUUCAGUGAAUCAUCGAAUCUUUGAACGCACAUUGCGCCCCUUGGUAUUCCGAGGGGCAUGCCUGUUCGAGCGUCAUUACAACCCUCAAGCGCUGCUUGGUAUUGGGCUCCGUCCUCACUGCGGACGCGCCUCGAAGACCUCGGCGGUGGCUGUUCGGCCCUCAAGCGUAGUAGAAUACACCUCGCUUUGGAGCGGUCGGCGUCGCCUGCCGGACGAACCUUCUGAACUUUUCUCAAGGUUGACCUCGGAUCAGGUAGGGAUACCCGCUGAACUUAAGC